AGAUGUGUCUGGUCUGUCUCUCUCUUUAACUCUCACACACCAAGGCCCUGUCCUGUCCUGUCCUGUCCUGUAUUCUGGUUUGACCCAAAGUACUACCUCAGGGUUGCGUUCAUUAGGCACCAAAAAAACAAACAUUAACUGACUGAAUCAAGGAGGUACUCUCUGGACCUGGUUCAAUAAGAAACCCACGGUUUCAUUUCCAGUUGCAAAACAUUUUAAAAAAAAUUUUUUGGGGGGUUGCAUGCCUUAAUGAGCGUAACCCAGAUCUGUCUCUCAGUGGGCUGACCGGAGGUGGAGACGUGGCCUAGCUGGAUUGACACAGUUUUAUCACCUGUGGUCACUCUGACUGGCUUCAACAUCUACCCAGUCCACGUCACACAAGGCUUAGUGUGCGUAGUCGUUGGAGAAAAGCAUGAUGUGUAUUAAAAAGACCAGAAACCACGUGGUUAUACAGACUGCUGUGGAACUUCAGAAAGGUUGUCAGAUUAUGGAGUGGAUUUUUUCAAAGGAGUGAAUGGAUUAUGUCAAUAGGUCUGUACUAAGGAGUGAAUGGAUUAUGUCAAUAGGUCUGUACUAAGGAAUGAAUGGAUUAUGUCAAUAGGUCUGUACUAAGGAGUGAAUGGAUUAUGUCAAUAGGUCUGUACUAAGGAGUGAAUGGAUUAUGUCAAUAGGUCUGUACUAAGGAAUGAAUGGAUUAUGUCAAUAGGUCUGUACUAAGGAGUGUUUUAUUGCACAUUAUACUAGAUGUCUAGGGCCUAUUGAGCAAUGGCUUUAAUGUAUAGAUUUAAAUGAAUGGAUUGAAUGUGUAGCCACGGAGGCACUUAGGCAGCACUCUAUGAAACACAUGGCAUCAAUAAUAAAGUUCUCUGUUAACCUCCUCUUCUCAGCUAAUACUGUGAGACUGAAUGUCUCUGCUCCAUUCCCCGGCUCAGCCCCGUGCGUGUGCGUGUGCGUGUGUGUGUGUGUGUGUGUGUGUGUGUGUGUGUGUGUAUUACAAGCACAAAGCUCAAAUGGAGGAUGGCUUUCUUUGUGUGUUGUUCACACUAGGCCUGAUGCUGGGAAAAUGUUGCCAUUUUGAAGUUCACACUAGGCCUGAUGCUGGGAAAAUGCUGCCAUUUUGAAGUUCACACUAGGCCUGAUGCUGGGAAAAUGCUG
This 1155-nucleotide long non-coding RNA is filed under the name Salmo salar (Atlantic salmon). RNAcentral's name for it is "lncRNA (ENSSSAG00000090762.1)". Lineage: Eukaryota; Metazoa; Chordata; Actinopteri; Salmoniformes; Salmonidae. The record is from RNAcentral.